GCGAGAGUGGCGGAACUGGCAGACGCGCUGGAUUUAGGAUCCUGUGCCUUCACUGGCGUGGGGGUUCGACUCCCCCCUCUCGCA
This 84-nucleotide transfer RNA is filed under the name Planctomyces sp. RNAcentral describes it as "tRNA-Leu". It matches the Rfam family "tRNA". Rfam says of the family: Transfer RNA (tRNA) molecules are approximately 80 nucleotides in length. Their secondary structure includes four short double-helical elements and three loops (D, anti-codon, and T loops). The record is from RNAcentral. Lineage: Bacteria; Pseudomonadati; Planctomycetota; Planctomycetia; Planctomycetales; Planctomycetaceae.